Molecule: long non-coding RNA, 1303 nt
Filed under: Prunus persica (peach)
Lineage: Eukaryota; Viridiplantae; Streptophyta; Magnoliopsida; Rosales; Rosaceae
Description: long non-coding RNA (PPER_LNC007550)
Source: RNAcentral
UCAUAACAAUGUACCCGACCUGCAUCAUCAUAAGGCAAACGCUAACUCAAAUUUUGUUCACUGACAGUUUAUAUCAUAGUGCGAGACUACAAACAAUUUCAUUGAUUCAGCCCUGCAGGUGCAGGGACAUGCAACAACAAACUGAAACAAAAGAUCCUGCAAACUCAAAACUAGUAAUGUGUUUAAAGGCUAAAGUAUUUGCACUGGACCAAGCGGUUUUGGGCCGACGAUAGUGCUGUACAUCAGGUUUGUCUUUGAAGAUCAAAAAACAGGAGGCAAGUUGUUCUGCCACUCAUACAGAAAAGGUGUAGCUUGUUUGAAUUUUGGUCUUUUAUACCAAGAAUUUCAUAUACAAUAACAAAAACAGGUCAAUAAGAAAGACGGGGGUUAAAAAUGACAACCUACAAGCUAACUAAUACAGUGAUUAAAUCAAUUUACAUAAGAAAAAGGUCAUCAUACUGCUUAAAAAAUAAAAAUUGAACUGACCUGGUUUGUUAAAAAAAGGGGGUUAUGCAAAUGGUUCAUGGUAAUGAUAGGUCCAGAUGUUUAGAGACCCAAUAGACAGUCAUUAAAUUCAAUCUACUAUAUGAGACAAAGGUCAUUGUAUUCCUUAAAAAACAAAAAUAGAACUGACUGGUUAGUAAGAAAAGGGCUUAUGCAGAUGGUUCCAGAGAAAUUGCUAGGUCCAGAAGUUUAGAGACCCAAUCAAACAUAAUGACCCAGAAGGAAGAAGAAAACUUCAGAAAAAAGAAAAAUAAUAUUAAUAAUCACUUCCUCCUGUCAGCUUCAUCUUCUCAAAAUCUUGCCACAAGUGUUUACAUUUGUCAACAGAAGUCGUGACUAGUGGAGGGUAUCUUCAUAAUUGCUAGAUAUGUAAAUAUAUCUGAUUCACAAAAUAAACAUGAUAUGUAUUAUGGUUACUUCAGUUUGGAUUAUUCAACUAAAAAAUAAACCUAUAUAUACACACACACACACAAACAUAUUUACUUUCUUUGUUGAAGGUGCUCCAAUCAGGGGUAUGUCUACGACUCUACACUCACAAGGCCACAUGGACCAAAUGGCGAACCUGUGGCUCACAAGUUUGGAAGUAAUGCACAAAAAUAAAAAUAAAACAGAAAUAAACCUUCAGGCACUUUAAAAAGAAAAAGAAAAGAACAAUUAAAGAAUUCUAUAUCUUUUAAGGAAAAUAAACAUUUUUAAAAGAAAACUAAUUUUACAUGUAGACUCCUGCUACUCAAGAGAUACGAUGCUUGCAGGUAAAAGGAACCUACAGCUUGAUCAAAAUUAUGCAUGUACGGAAACC